This is a non-coding RNA of Pelobates cultripes (western spadefoot toad), 306 nucleotides long. The record is from the annotation of a GenBank genome assembly. NCBI's taxonomy places the organism in Eukaryota, Metazoa, Chordata, Amphibia, Anura, Pelobatidae.
GUGUGACUCAGUCACUGUUCUUAUAUUAAACCACACUGACUGAUGAUCACUGGAUCCCAAACUUUCACCUACAGUAAUAUCUGAUACCAAAUCUCCAUUUGUUAACACUAAAUCUAGCAUGGCCUCUUUACGAGUUGGCUCCUCAACAACUUGUUUUAGAGACAAUCCCAGUAGGGAGUUUAGAAUAUGUGUGCCCCUGGCACAAGUAGCUAAUUUUGUUUUCCAAUUUACAUCAGGAAGAUUAAAGUCACCCAUGAUGAUAACUUCCCCCUUCAUUGUCAUUUUAGCUAUUUCCUCAACUAGUAG